UACGUAGGCAGCGAGCGUUGUUCGGAGUUACUGGGCGUAAAGAGUGCGUAGGCGGUUUUCUAAGUUUGGUGUGAAAUCUCCCGGCUCAACUGGGAGGGUGCGCCGAAGACUGGAAGGCUUGAGUAUGGGAGAGGUAAGCGGAAUUCCUGGUGUAGCGGUGAAAUGCGUAGAUAUCAGGAGGAACACCUGUGGUGUAGACGGCUUACUGGACCAUAACUGACGCUGAGGCACGAAAGCGUGGGUAGCAAACAGG
Molecule: ribosomal RNA, 253 nt
Filed under: uncultured bacterium
Lineage: Bacteria
Description: partial 16S ribosomal RNA
Rfam family: Bacterial small subunit ribosomal RNA
Source: RNAcentral